Molecule: long non-coding RNA, 874 nt
Organism: Cyanistes caeruleus (blue tit)
Lineage: Eukaryota; Metazoa; Chordata; Aves; Passeriformes; Paridae
Source: RefSeq, a predicted model, not a curated record
CCUGUUCAAAAUACUGAUGGACCUUUCCUUCCCAUCUUUCUGAUUUCCCUGGAUUCCAUUUUCCCACUUAUUUCCUAACGCUUCUGCUGCCCUUUAUUUCCAUAGGUGCUGCUGAGCACCUCCCCAGCCCCUGGGGGACGAGAAGCAGCAAGAGCAGUUAAUUCUCCACCUGGCAUGAGAACACUUCUCUCCUUUCCAGCACCGAGGAGAAAUCCAGAGUAAUCCUAUUUUUGGUCUGGCUGAUAAUUGCACUCUUGCUGGCUGCAUAUUGAUGAACAGCGUUUUCAACAUCCCUAAUGAAUUUUUAUCAACAAGCACAAGGGGUUGUGUCUGCUGGCAGAGGUUUUUUAGCACUCCUCAGAGGCAUUUGAUGAGUGGAUGAACAUCACAAACCAAUUAAGAACAAGAGAUCUCAUCUGGCUUUUCACUGACUGAGAUGGAGAAUUAAAGUCAUUUUAGACCUGGUUUGAAGUUCCAGGUUUCCACACCAGUGGCCACUUACCACACCUGAGCCAAGAUUUCCUGGAAAGGUGGAGGAGAGGCUGCAGCACAGCCAGGUAAUGACACUCAUGCUGUAGCUCAGCCACGGGUGAGAAAUAACUUUCUCAUUCCACGAAUUCAAAUUGUUUCUCAACCAGACACCAAUCUUGAUAUAUUACAUGGGUUUUUGGGACUGGUUAAAUGUUUUCCAAGAAUCCAAAUUUGUAGUUUGUGCCUUAAAAUACAGCUGAAAGUUUGGAACACAAUUCCAAACCCAAGAACCUGGAAAGAAAAGAUUUUGGAGAUGGUUUCUGAGCUAAAGGACUCUGUGAUUCUGUGGUUAAAUAGUUGUGAGGUUUGUGAUCACCUGUGCUCCUGAUAGCCUGAAGCUUCU